RNAcentral lists this ribosomal RNA (460 nucleotides) under uncultured bacterium. RNAcentral's name for it is "partial 16S ribosomal RNA". It matches the Rfam family "Bacterial small subunit ribosomal RNA", at positions 338 to 795 of the family's 1533-position model. The record is from RNAcentral.
CCUACGGGAGGCAGCAGUGAGGAAUAUUGGUCAAUGGCCGGAAGGCUGAACCAGCCAUACCGCGUGAAGGUCAGUGCCCUAUGGGCGUUAAACUUCUUUUGUGCGGGAGCAAUAAUGGUCACGUGUGGCCAGACGAGAGUACCGUACGAAUAAGCAUCGGCUAACUCCGUGCUAGCAGCCGCGGUAAUAAGGGGGAUGCAAGCGUUAUCCGGAUUUAUUGGGGUUAAAGGGUGCGUAAGCUGUGAGGUAAGUCAGCGGUGAAAUGCCCGCGCUCAACGGGGUGAAGUGCCAUUGAUACUGCCUUGCUGGAGUGCGGAUGCCGUAGGAGGAAUGUGUGGUGUAGCGGUGAAAUGCAUAGAUAUCACACAGAACACCGAUUGCGAAGGCAUCUCACGAAUCCGCGAUUGACGCUGAUGCACGAAAGCGUGGGUAUCAAACAGGAUUAGAUACCCCUGUAGUC